CGGCGAAUUGUAGUUUAGAGAACUGUUAUCGAUGCUUAGAGUCCACCUAAGUCACUUGGAAAAGUGCGUCUUAGAGGGUGAGAACCCCGUGCGGUGGCGCUUUAGAUUAAGCACAUACGAGGCAGUCUCGACGAGUCGGGUUGUUUGGGAUUGCAGCCCCAAAUGGGUGGUAAAUUUCAUCUAAAGCUAAAUAUUGGCACGAGACCGAUAGCGAACAAGUACUGUGAAGGAAAGAUGAAAAGCACUUUGAAAAGAGAGUUAAAAGUACGUGAAACCGUUAAAAGGGAAGCGAUUGAAGUCAGCAGUGGAUUUGUUGAGAACAGCGGUGCGGCCUUUUUCUGUGAGUUGGUGCGGAGCGUAAGCCCAAUGCCGACUUUCGAGGAACGCAGUGUGUAUGCUCGACAUGAUCCUUGUCAACAUCUAUUCUUCGGGCGAGAGAGGAGUUUUUGGAAGGUAGCUUUUGUCUCAUCAUUUAUGAUUUGAGAAAAGUGUUACAGCCAUUGGCUUGUGUCGCCUUGAGGAUGGAUCAAUUUUUCAAUAUGCGCAGCCGAAUUUACUCAACGUGAAGUUUUGUGGUGUGAUAGUCGGAUUACACGUAAUGCGAUUUGAGCAGUAUAGAGGUGAGCGAGCGGAUAGAUCAGCUUUGUGUUGACGAAAUGGCUUUAACCGACCCGUCUAGUAACACGGACCAAGGAGUCUAACAUACGUGCGAGUACUAUGGUGGCAAACCAUUGUGCGCAAUGAAAGUGAAGGCUGGCUUCCGUCAGCUGAGGUGGGAUCCGCAAGGAGCACCAUCGACCGACCAUGUCCCUUCGGGGUAAAGGUUUGAGUGUGAGCAUUUAUGUUGGGACCCGAAAGAUGGUGAACUAUGCCUGAAUAGGGCGAAGCCAGGGGAAAC
This 898-nucleotide ribosomal RNA is filed under the name Oxyrrhis marina. RNAcentral describes it as "partial Eukaryotic large subunit ribosomal RNA". It matches the Rfam family "Eukaryotic large subunit ribosomal RNA", at positions 136 to 862 of the family's 3401-position model. Lineage: Eukaryota; Dinophyceae; Oxyrrhinales; Oxyrrhinaceae. The record is from RNAcentral.